AUCCUGGCUCAGGACGAACGCUGGCGGCGUGCCUWAUACAUGCAAGUCGAGCGGACAGAUGGGAGCUUGCUYCCUKAUGUUAGCGGCGGACGGGUGAGUWACACGUGGGUAACCYGCCUGUAAGACUGGGAUAACUCCGGGAAACCGGGGCUAAUACCGGAUGCUUGAWUKAACCGCAUGGUUYAAUUAUWAAARGUKGSYUUURGCUACCACUUACAGAUGGACCCGCGGCGCAUUAGCUAGUUGGUGAGGUAACGGCUCACCAAGGCRACGAUGCGUAGCCGACCUGAGAGGGUGAUCGGCCACACUGGGACUGAGACACGGCCCAGACUCCUACGGGAGGCAGCAGUAGGGAAUCUUCCGCAAUGGACGAAAGUCUGACGGAGCAACGCCGCGUGAGUGAUGAAGGUUUUCGGAUCGUAAAACUCUGUUGUUAGGGAAGAACAAGUACCGUUCGAAUAGGGCGGUACCUKACGGUACCWACCAGAA
RNAcentral lists this ribosomal RNA (489 nucleotides) under Bacillus licheniformis. RNAcentral's name for it is "partial 16S ribosomal RNA". It matches the Rfam family "Bacterial small subunit ribosomal RNA", at positions 16 to 487 of the family's 1533-position model. Lineage: Bacteria; Bacillati; Bacillota; Bacilli; Caryophanales; Bacillaceae. The record is from RNAcentral.